RNAcentral lists this ribosomal RNA (301 nucleotides) under uncultured bacterium. RNAcentral's name for it is "partial 16S ribosomal RNA". It matches the Rfam family "Bacterial small subunit ribosomal RNA", at positions 509 to 807 of the family's 1533-position model. The record is from RNAcentral.
CAGCAGCCACGGUAAUACGGAGGGUGCAAGCGUUAAUCGGAAUUACUGGGCGUAAAGCGCACGCAGGCGGUCUGACAAGUCAGAUGUGAAAUCCCCGGGCUUAACCUGGGAACUGCAUUUGAAACUGUCAGGCUGGAGUCUUGUAGAGGGGGGUAGAAUUCCAGGUGUAGCGGUGAAAUGCGUAGAGAUCUGGAGGAAUACCGGUGGCGAAGGCGGCCCCCUGGACAAAGACUGACGCUCAGGUGCGAAAGCGUGGGGAGCAAACAGGAUUAGAUACCCGCGUAGUCCCUGUCUCUUAUAC